This is a long non-coding RNA of Vidua chalybeata, 982 nucleotides long. RefSeq lists it as uncharacterized. The record is from RefSeq and is a predicted model, not a curated record. The transcript is spliced from 3 exons. Lineage: Eukaryota; Metazoa; Chordata; Aves; Passeriformes; Viduidae.
GUGAGGGGAGCGCCGCUGAGGGACCGGAGAUAGAGCGGGAAACCCUUAAAGUUACAAGGCGCUUUUCCCUAGACCUGAGCCUUCCUUCCAUCUCUUGCAUCAGCUAGUCAACAGAAAAACGUUUUUGUGCGUGCUGUAAGAAUUGGCUUUUUUGUGGAGCAUGGGUAAAGUUUUCAGGAAAUCCCUCCCUCCGCAAAAACGUAAUUUUUGUACCUACACUGAAUUCUAUUAGUCCGUGGUGUUCCUGGGGAAAUGCAGGAGAAACUUUUAGUGUCUUUUAACCUAGAACCUAAAGGUUCUAGAACUCUAGAACCUUCUAGUGCUUUUGACGCUCCCGGAGGUCGAGCUCGGCCGAAGGCGCGCACGAUCCGGGCCCGGGCGGGUUCGGGUCCCGCCCGGUUUCGGCCGCUGCCCGGCGCCGCAGGGGCCGGCCCUGCGCGGGCCAAGGCUCUGCCGCCCCGGGGCAGCCUCUGUGCUUCCUCUGCUUCGGGCUGGAAGAGCGCCGCUAUCAGCAGAAAGGUUACAGCCAAGUGUGGAUGAGAGCAGCUUCAGCCACCUCUGCAGUGACUCUGCUGUGUCCCCAAGGCACAAAGAGCUCUCCCUGCCUUUGUUUUCCUGUGAUGGCCAGGCUGCUACCCAAGGGAAGAGAAGAAACAGGAAAUGAAGGCACCUUGCUAAUUCCUCGUUUCACUGGAGAGCCCAGAGAGAUGCCCAUCUUUAGUGCAGCUUCAUGGCUGUGGAUUAGCACCAGGCAGCUGUGCCAGAGUAGAAGUAUCUAUUCAUUGGAUAGCUCACCUGAGUUUCUGGCUACUGACUCAUCUGCAUAUCAACUCCCACUGAUAAUGUGUUGUUGUUGUGGUCUGAUUACCAAUGAAAAGCAGACUUCUUGGAGCAGGAAUUAUUUAGAACUAGACAAGCAGAAUUCAAAACACCUGAAAGCGCAUGAAUGCUUUCAUAAAUUUUGGAAAUAAAAUUCUUGGGA